Molecule: ribosomal RNA, 458 nt
Filed under: uncultured bacterium
Lineage: Bacteria
Description: partial 16S ribosomal RNA
Rfam family: Bacterial small subunit ribosomal RNA
Source: RNAcentral
CCUACGGGCGGCAGCAGUGAGGAAUAUUGGUCAAUGGGCGAGAGCCUGAACCAGCCAAGUCGCGUGAGGGAGUACUGCCCUAUGGGUUGUAAACCUCUUUUGUCGGGGAGCAAAAGCCGGACGUGUCCGGCUGUGAGAGUACCCGAAGAAAAAGCAUCGGCUAACUCCGUGCCAGCAGCCGCGGUAAUACGGAGGAUGCGAGCGUUAUCCGGAUUUAUUGGGUUUAAAGGGUGCGCAGGCGGAUUUUUAAGUCAGCGGUAAAAUCGUGGGGCUCAACCCCAUCCAGCCGUUGAAACUGGGGAUCUAGAGUGUGCGAGAGGUAUGCGGAAUGCGUGGUGUAGCGGUGAAAUGCAUAGAUAUCACGCAGAACCCCGAUUGCGAAGGCAACAUACCGGUGCACAACUGACGCUCAGGCACGAAAGCGUGGGUAUCGAACAGGAUUAGAUACCCGAGUAGUC